CUGCUGCCUUCCGUAGGAGUCUGGUCCGUGUCUCAGUACCAGUGUGGGGGGACCUUCCUCUCAGAACCCCUACGCAUCGUCGCCACGGUGGGCCGUUACCCCGCCGUCUAGCUAAUGCGCCGCAUGCCCAUCCUCUUCCGAUGAAUCUUUCCUCGAUCUCGGAUGCCCGAAACCGAUAUACGCGGGAUUAGCCUCCCUUUCGGAAGGUUGUCCCCCUGAAGAGGGCAGGUUGCAUACGUGUUACUCACCCGUGCGCCGGUCGCCGG
Molecule: ribosomal RNA, 266 nt
Filed under: uncultured bacterium
Lineage: Bacteria
Description: partial 16S ribosomal RNA
Source: RNAcentral